UCACUUUGCGCACCUCCCAACACUGCCAUCGCGCUGUCGGCAAAUAUGGCGCCCGCUAGCAGUUGUUGUGCUGUCGUGUGCUUUUGUAACUAAAACUCCGUUUUGACAUCACUUUCAUCAUAAUCUGAACAAAAAUAAUAAUAAUAUAAAAA
This 152-nucleotide small RNA is filed under the name Drosophila yakuba. RNAcentral's name for it is "GE27483". The record is from RNAcentral. Lineage: Eukaryota; Metazoa; Arthropoda; Insecta; Diptera; Drosophilidae.